UACGUAGGGUGCGAGCGUUGUCCGGAAUUAUUGGGCGUAAAGAGCUCGUAGGCGGUGUGUCACGUCGGCCGUGAAAACCUGCAGCUUAACUGUGGGCGUGCGGUCGAUACGGGCAGACUGGAGUACUGCAGGGGAGACUGGAAUUCCUGGUGUAGCGGUGGAAUGCGCAGAUAUCAGGAGGAACACCGGUGGCGAAGGCGGGUCUCUGGGCAGUAACUGACGCUGGAGGAGCGAAAGCGUGGGGGAGCGAACAGG
This 255-nucleotide ribosomal RNA is filed under the name uncultured bacterium. Its description in RNAcentral is "partial 16S ribosomal RNA". It matches the Rfam family "Bacterial small subunit ribosomal RNA", at positions 524 to 776 of the family's 1533-position model. The record is from RNAcentral.